Molecule: ribosomal RNA, 301 nt
Filed under: uncultured bacterium
Lineage: Bacteria
Description: partial 16S ribosomal RNA
Rfam family: Bacterial small subunit ribosomal RNA
Source: RNAcentral
CAGCCGCCGCGGGAAUACGUAGGGUGCAAGCGUUAAUCGGAAUUACUGGGCGUAAAGCGUGCGCAGGCGGUUUUGUAAGUUUGUCGUGAAAGCCCCGGGCUCAACCUGGGAAUUGCGAUGAAGACUGCAAGGCUUGAAUCUGGCAGAGGGGGGUAGAAUUCCACGUGUAGCAGUGAAAUGCGUAGAGAUGUGGAGGAACACCGAUGGCGAAGGCAGCCCCCUUGGUCAAGAUUGACGCUCAUGCACGAAAGCGUGGGGAGCAAACAGGAUUAGAGACCCCCGUAGUCCCUGUCUCUUAUAC